UGGGGAAUAUUGCGCAAUGGGCGAAAGCCUGCCGCAGCGACGCCGCGUGAGGGAAGAAGGCCUUCGGGUCGUAAACCUCUGUCUAGAGGGGAGAAACCAUUGAGGUCGAAUAGGCCUCUUUGCUGACGGUACCUCUGAAGGAAGCACCGGCUAACUCCGUGCCAGCAGCCGCGGUAAUCCGGAGGGUGCGAGCGUUAAUCGGAAUCACUGGGCGUAAAGCGCACGUAGGCGGUGUCGUAAGUCGGAUGUGAAAGCCCUCGGCUCAACCGGGGAACUGCAUUCGAGACUGCGACGCUUGAGUGCCGGAGAGGGUGGCGGAAUUCCAAGUGUAGGAGUGAAAUCCGGAGAUAUCUGGAGGAACACCAGUGGCGAAGGCGGCCACCUGGCCGGCAACUGACGCUGAGGUGCGAAAGCGUGGGGAUCAAACA
RNAcentral lists this ribosomal RNA (428 nucleotides) under uncultured prokaryote. RNAcentral's name for it is "bacterial SSU rRNA". It matches the Rfam family "Bacterial small subunit ribosomal RNA", at positions 355 to 774 of the family's 1533-position model. The record is from RNAcentral.